This 648-nucleotide long non-coding RNA is filed under the name Sinocyclocheilus grahami. RNAcentral's name for it is "lncRNA (ENSSGRG00000019079.1)". The record is from RNAcentral. Lineage: Eukaryota; Metazoa; Chordata; Actinopteri; Cypriniformes; Cyprinidae.
ACGUCAGUCACGAACAGGACGCAGUUUCCGGUGCGCCAUUUUAAGCUGUCUGGCGCAAGUUCCACUGGGAAGAUGGCGGGUGAAACUGGUUGAUUUUUUGCGGUUUGCCAAAUUUGAGUUUUAUGCCGAUAUCCGAAAGCCGUCGCUGCUGUUAAUUGUGCUAAAAGCUCGGCGGUGUGUUGAAGCGCCGCGGGCGAGGAGGCGAUGUCUGCCGAAGUUCUCAGACCUGGGCCGGUGGCCGGUGGAGGCAGUAAGCUAGGAGAGCUGAUCGGGAAGCUCCAUGAGUAUUUGGCAGCAGCCACGGAAGACAAGACUGAAGCUACUUUACCUGGACACUGGAAUGGAACCACGGCCAAAGAAUACUUGGAGCAGCAGGCUUGUGCCCAGGUAGAGAUUGUUUAGAGUGUGGCAGAAAUGACAUUUUUGUUGUCCAACCCAGAAGUUGGCAUCACCCUGGUUCCUUUGACCAAAAGCCAAUAGGAUGUUUCCACUGGGUUCUGAAUAACUGCAGAAAAUAAGCUUUGUGACAAACAAAACCUUUUGCUCAUCAAGAUAAUCUUCACAAAUGAACAACUUUUAUGAAUUUUGAAGCCUAAAUGUAAAUGGCAGAAGUAAAAAUAACUAAAAACUAAAACAAUUUAUAGGCAC